GUGUAUGAUUGUGCGGUGGUUUUAGCGUGAUACACAGUAUUCAACGACAUCUUGGAGCGGCGAUGGAAGGCGCGGCUACAGGCGAUCCUGCUUGGGCGAGGUUAAAACCUGGAAGUGGCUAUGGAGACGGGCUUGGCAUUCGCGUGGACUCUCCUUCAGUCCUUCGGGGCUUCGACUUGAAUAUGCCUUCAAUGACCCGCGCGCAUAGGAAGGUUUCACUUUGGUAGGAGGGAUAUGCCAAAUCAAUAUCUCAAAUAGGUUGAUGACGAUGGUGAUUGUUUGUAGUGAUUUUCUGUUUGUGUAUGACAAAAACAAAUAUUUUAUAUUUUGUGUA
Long non-coding RNA from Ipomoea nil (Japanese morning glory), 334 nucleotides. RefSeq lists it as uncharacterized. The record is from RefSeq and is a predicted model, not a curated record. Lineage: Eukaryota; Viridiplantae; Streptophyta; Magnoliopsida; Solanales; Convolvulaceae. The transcript is spliced from 2 exons.